GUCUACGGUCAUACCACCCUGAACGCACCUGAUCUUGUCUGAUCUUGGAAGCUAAGCAGGGUCGGGCCUUGUUUAGUACUUGGAUGGGAGAUUUGAGUUAGAGAUAUUAGUGUGAACU
RNAcentral lists this ribosomal RNA (118 nucleotides) under Felis catus (domestic cat). The record is from RNAcentral. Lineage: Eukaryota; Metazoa; Chordata; Mammalia; Carnivora; Felidae.